This 527-nucleotide ribosomal RNA is filed under the name uncultured bacterium. RNAcentral's name for it is "bacterial SSU rRNA". It matches the Rfam family "Bacterial small subunit ribosomal RNA", at positions 19 to 518 of the family's 1533-position model. The record is from RNAcentral.
AUGGCUCAGGACGAACGCUGGCGGCGUGCCUAAUACAUGCAAGUCGAACGGCUUUUCUAUGGAAGCUUGCUUCCACUGAGAAGAUAGUGGCGAACGGGUGAGUAACACGUGGGUAACCUGCCCAUAAGAGGGGGGAUAACAUCCGGAAACGGGUGCUAAUACCGCAUAGUUUUCUUGAUCGCAUGAUCGGGAAAGGAAAGACGGCCUUUGUGCUGUCGCUUAUGGAUGGACCCGCGGCGUAUUAGUUAGUUGGUGAGGUAACGGCUCACCAAGACGAUGAUACGUAGCCGACCUGAGAGGGUGAUCGGCCACAUUGGGACUGAGACACGGCCCAAACUCCUACGGGAGGCAGCAGUAGGGAAUCUUCCGCAAUGGACGAAAGUCUGACGGAGCAACGCCGCGUGAGUGAAAGAAGGUUUUCGGAUCGUAAAACUCUGUUGUCAGAGAAGAACAAGUUGGAGAGUAACUGCUCCAGCCUUGACGGUAUCUGACCAGAAAGCCACGGCUAACUACGUGCCAGCCGCCGC